UAAGAUUGCAUGGGUGAGCAAGAAAAGUGGGUCCAUUUUCCAGCUAUAUAUACACAGCCAUGACUUAAUAUUGUAUCAGCUCAAGGCCUAACCCUAACCCUAACAUCCCUCUGCUUCUUCCUUCAUAACUUAUCAAUGUCAGGGACGUCAGGCUCACAAGAGGAGAAAAAGACUGUUAGCAUUCGGAUGGACAAAAUCGGUUGCCUCGAAAUCAAUAUUACCGUUACUGGAAAAGAAGUUGUGCUGACGAUCGAUGGAGUCCCCCAGCCAAAAAUCAAAGAUAAGAAGAAUCUACAAAUAAUCAUCAAAGACCCCGAGCCAGGCCCCAAGAAAGAUCAGAAAGGCAGUAGAAAUUAAAUGCAAGAAGCGUCUGCAAAUGAUACUAGGGAUAUGGAAAUAUUAUUGAAGAUGUGAUGGAAAAAACAUACACAAAGAGAUAAAAACCCACUGGAUUGUAAGAAAGUAGUACACAAAAUUAUUAUCUAGUAGAUACUUUUAUUGUAAGAAGGCAAAAUCCACGGAGCCCAACAAAAAAUCCAAGGCGCCCAAGCUAGACCCUCCUCAGGCAAUGAAAUCUAUAAAUUAAAUGUAAGAAGCGUCUCCAAAUAUAUAUUGGAGAUAUGGAAAUAUUAUUGAAGACAUGAAGAUAUUUGACUUUUAUUGUAUAUAAAAUAAUGGUUAUUGUCUUCUAUGGUAUAUAAGAUUAUUUUAUUUUUCUUU
Molecule: long non-coding RNA, 720 nt
Organism: Vitis vinifera (wine grape)
Lineage: Eukaryota; Viridiplantae; Streptophyta; Magnoliopsida; Vitales; Vitaceae
Exons: 2
Source: RefSeq, a predicted model, not a curated record